This 748-nucleotide long non-coding RNA is filed under the name Pongo abelii (Sumatran orangutan). RNAcentral describes it as "lincRNA". The record is from RNAcentral. Lineage: Eukaryota; Metazoa; Chordata; Mammalia; Primates; Hominidae.
UUUCAGAGGCCUAUUGCCACAUUUGGGGCAAUGCGUACGUAUGUGGUUUCGUUAGCUCCAGCGGAGGCUAAUCCUCUGAUAGAGCCACCUCUCACACGAAACACUGAAUGGAGGCAAUCCCAAGACGGAUGGAGCAGCGGCAGCGCAGGUUGCUGCAGCUGUGCUGCCAGAGAUUGUAAUUCAGGAACCAAUCUCAAGCUGAGCAGAGGAAAAAAUGAGAUUCUUCAUGAAAAUGGCCAAAUGUCAUCACCAGCUAUUUUGUGAGACGAGCUAUGUUAGGAGCCAUCCACAUGUAAAAUGGACUUUCACCAAAUUCCAUCCAUCUGCAGGUCAUGGAAGCUCACAACAUGUAUGUCUCCUGAGGGAGCCUUUUCUUUUUGUGCUUUUUCUGGCACUAAGAAAUACAGACACUUGUGAUUUACUACUGGGCACUUAUAGGAAUGGAGUCAACUAUUUCCUAAGAAACUCAAAGGCUGAAAUGAGAAAUUCAGAAAAUAAAAAUAUUUUCUGUGUUAGAAAACUAUAUACCAGAAAGCCUGAAAAGUGAGGGAAAGGGCACAGAAAUUCUGGUUAAUAAGAUGUUGUAGAUUAGUGAGAACUUGAACAUGUUUUUGCUUCCAGUAUAUUUUUUGGAAUUUCUAAACUAUAUUAGUUCCAUUUCUUGCCUUAGGAAUUACAGUAUUGUGAUCAUGUGAGAAAAGAUAGUUCUAAAUAUUAAUAAAUAUUUUUAACUUCAUCAAAAACAUCU